This 293-nucleotide long non-coding RNA is filed under the name Solanum tuberosum (potato). RNAcentral's name for it is "long non-coding RNA (STUB_LNC010562)". Lineage: Eukaryota; Viridiplantae; Streptophyta; Magnoliopsida; Solanales; Solanaceae. The record is from RNAcentral.
CCUAAACCAGCAUUUAUUUUCUAAAUGCAAAAUCCAAAUGUAUAUCAGUAGUGACCUGUAUAUUAAGAAGGACAAGAGAAAAGAUUCAAAAUUGUAACCAUGAGAUACUGGUCAUACCUUGCCAAUCUCACUGAGUCUGAAACAUCCAUGCCACCUUUCAUCAAGUCUCCGUUAAAGAUAUAUCUUGCCUGCUUAACAUCAAUUCAGAAAAUGUGGCUUCCACAGUGGACACUGGACAUAUCGAACACCAGUUGAGGGAGAAAAGAAUAAGUUGCUACACCGCAAAGAAAGAG